RNAcentral lists this microRNA precursor (128 nucleotides) under Bombyx mori (domestic silkworm). RNAcentral's name for it is "microRNA bmo-mir-3304a precursor". The record is from miRBase by way of RNAcentral. Lineage: Eukaryota; Metazoa; Arthropoda; Insecta; Lepidoptera; Bombycidae.
CAGUCUCCCUAUUAAUGAUAUUCCAAGUCAUUUUAAUUUUGUCAGGUGCAUUUUUUAUAAGAUUGCCUAAGUGCAAUGACUUGGCCAAUGUACAGACUUUUUUAAACAGCUUGGAAUAUUUACAGACA